AGCAUCCCUGCAUGCAGCAUGUAUGUGUGGGACUCUUGCAUUCCGAAUCGAAUCUGUGCAAAGAUGGUCCUCAGAUCUGCCGUCUUCCCUUAGGGGUCUUCCAAGAGAAACACCCGCCAACUCAAUCCCUCCCUGACCAAGAGACACUGGAGCCUUCAGAUACAUCAGGAGGAGAAGCUGAAUUGAGCACAGUUUCACAAAUAUCUGUGACUUGUAGAUUCCAUGCUGCAGAAAACCAUCAGCAGAAACAGGAGGCUGACCUUGCUGGCCAGAACAAAGAACAAUCUGAUCUCUCUCCUUUACCCUUGAAAAUGCCAUUAAGGGAUUCGGCUUUCCUCUGAGGAGUCCAUAUACAUCCCUAUUAAUCUUCAGGGCAACGUCAACAUGAAAAUGAUCCGAGCCUGGCCGAUGACUGCAUAGGUCUGCUUGCAAGAGAUUCACAGAGGUCCACACAAGUCAUCCCACUUAAGGGAUCUUCCUUCUGUCUUCACCCACACCUCCUCUGCACACAGCUCUCCGCCUCCCUGGGGUUCAUUGUAGCCAUCUUUCUGAGACAAGGGUCAGUUCAGAGGGCAGUUGUUGCCUCCUCUCUCUCCAGGAAACAAGCUCUCCUCAUAAGGAUUCUUUUUCCCAGCAAGCAAAGAUGACCUGGAAAUUUGACAGUACCAGAGUUACAGACUACUCUUUCUCAAGAGAGAAAUAUUACCUUAUAGAAACCAGCUUUUAUCCUGCUGUGAAACUGUACUGUGUUCUGCGGAUUGUCUCUGAUUAGAGCCAGGUGAACUGGGGGAAGCUCGGAGGGCUGUCUUCUGCACACCUCAAAGGCAGCUGGAAUCGUAUGUGACC
This 846-nucleotide long non-coding RNA is filed under the name Mus musculus (house mouse). RNAcentral describes it as "predicted gene 534". Lineage: Eukaryota; Metazoa; Chordata; Mammalia; Rodentia; Muridae. The record is from RNAcentral.